GUAGUCUGCAACUCGACUACAUGAAGCCGGAAUCGCUAGUAAUCGCGAAUCAGAAUGUCGCGGUGAAUACGUUCCCGGGUCUUGUACACACCGCCCGUCACACCAUGGGAGCCGGAAAUGCCUGAAGUCAGUGGCCCAACCGCAAGGAGGGAGCUGCCGAAGGUGGAGCUGGUGACUGGGGUGAAGUCGUAACAAGGUAAC
RNAcentral lists this ribosomal RNA (201 nucleotides) under uncultured bacterium. RNAcentral describes it as "partial 16S ribosomal RNA". It matches the Rfam family "Bacterial small subunit ribosomal RNA", at positions 1300 to 1500 of the family's 1533-position model. The record is from RNAcentral.